AACGAACGCUGGCGGCAUGCCUAACACAUGCCAGUCGAACGAGACCUUCGGGUCUAGUGGCGCACGGGUGCGUAACGCGUGGGAACCUGCCUUUAGGUUCGGAAUAACUCAGAGAAAUUUGAGCUAAUACCGGAUGAUGUCUUCGGACCAAAGAUUUAUCGCCUUUAGAUGGGCCCGCGUUGGAUUAGCUAGUUGGUGGGGUAAAGGCCUACCAAGGCGACGAUCCAUAGCUGGUCUGAGAGGAUGAUCAGCCACACUGGGACUGAGACACGGCCCAGACUCCUACGGGAGGCAGCAGUGGGGAAUAUUGGACAAUGGGCGAAAGCCUGAUCCAGCAAUGCCGCGUGAGUGAUGAAGGCCUUAGGGUUGUAAAGCUCUUUUACCCGAGAUGAUAAUGACAGUAUCGGGAGAAUAGCUCCGGCUAACUCCGUG
Molecule: ribosomal RNA, 432 nt
Filed under: uncultured bacterium
Lineage: Bacteria
Description: partial 16S ribosomal RNA
Rfam family: Bacterial small subunit ribosomal RNA
Source: RNAcentral